UUGAAUCUUAAUUUGCUUACAAAAAAUUUCUCAGACAACACAAUCAAGAAAACUGUGUUUUUGAGUUUGAGAAAAUGCUGGUUUUCUUAAUCUAAAAUUGGGCUGAAACCCACUAUAUAAAAAUCAAAAUUGUCGUAACAGUGCUUAGGUCAGGCCCAAAAGUAACCUGACUCGGAUCCACAAAAUCUCAAAAGAGAAAGCAAAAACACUUCCGACUAUUAGGUUAUUUUAGAAAGUGUAAAGUUCCUCCUCUUGUUGCCUUUUCAGCUUCUCAAUUGUCGAUGAAAUUCGGUGUUCCACGCCGCUACUGUGAUGCUAUCUUUGGUCAUCAUCCUCUACCUAUUCAUCUCCAUCACUCAGCUAAGUAUCAAAAGUCAACCUUACCUUUAUCUCUUUUCUAACUCGCUGGGUUGAGCUUAUUAUGACGCUAAUACCACCAUCAUAAUUAGAAACGAGUUUCCAGUAAGCAUUAAUUAAGUACAUUAGUAGUGUGGUGGGUAAUUUCUAAUCAAUUUUAGGGACUGUACAGAUUUGAUCUCGCUGGUGCUUGAAUAUUCCAACCCUCACAUCCAAAAUCUCACUGAAUGCAGGCUUCAUACUCAAUGAAAAUCACUUCCAACACCGGGUACAAGUUGUAGCGAAUAUACCAUAUUCAGUCAGUUCGCAGCUUCCAGUCAGCAGGUGAUGAGUCCUUUUGAUUCAUGGGCUCGAGUCAGUUACACAGUUUGAGAAGUAUUGUAUUUUCUUUAUUCAAUCGUAUUGAGUUGGGAUAGUUGGGAGUCAUGACCCGGCUACCUAUAGUCAGUACUAGUAGAGACUUCAUAGACAGUUAGUAGUGUUAAUGUAUUUUAUUUCAGUUUUGUUGUCAAAAGCAGAGUUGUAAUCUUGUAAAUUCAGAUUUGUAUUGAUCGAGUUCAGAGAAGUUUUAUGUUUC
This is a long non-coding RNA of Capsicum annuum, 934 nucleotides long. RefSeq lists it as uncharacterized. The record is from RefSeq and is a predicted model, not a curated record. Lineage: Eukaryota; Viridiplantae; Streptophyta; Magnoliopsida; Solanales; Solanaceae. The transcript has 2 exons.